CCUUGAGAGUCCUGAAGGAACGUUGAAGAUGACGACGUUGAUAGGCCGGGUGUGUAAGCGCAGCGAUGCGUUGAGCUAACCGGUACUAAUGAACCGUGAGGCUUAACCUUACAACGCCGAAGCUGUU
RNAcentral lists this ribosomal RNA (127 nucleotides) under Escherichia coli. Its description in RNAcentral is "partial 23S ribosomal RNA". The stretch from base 1 to 110 matches the Rfam family "Bacterial large subunit ribosomal RNA", at positions 2813 to 2925 of the family's 2925-position model. Lineage: Bacteria; Pseudomonadati; Pseudomonadota; Gammaproteobacteria; Enterobacterales; Enterobacteriaceae. The record is from RNAcentral.